This is a long non-coding RNA of Felis catus (domestic cat), 1201 nucleotides long. RefSeq lists it as uncharacterized. Lineage: Eukaryota; Metazoa; Chordata; Mammalia; Carnivora; Felidae. The transcript is spliced from 3 exons. The record is from RefSeq and is a predicted model, not a curated record.
UUAAAAAAAACAUCAACACAUGAAAUGUCUUUCUCUCUCUCCCCAAAAUAAAACAUUAAAAAAAACAUUAACACACUAAAAAAAUGUUAAUAACCACUAUAUAGAUGUGAUGGUGAAAUGAGAAAAUACACCCAGAGCACCAAGGAUAUAGUAGUGUAUAAUAAAAUAUGCCCACAUCAUUAACCGUGGCCCAUGGUUAAUUUUGUAGACUUUGUAAAUUUUGUAAAUUUUUCUUCCCCAACAAGGGGGAAAGUUGGUUAAGAGAUUUUUAAUUUUCUUUUAAGAUGGGAGCAGUGAUAGUACGUUUGUAUGCUUAUAGAAAUAAGUCAGUAAAUGGGGAAAACUAGAUGAUGCAGGAGGAAUACCGUGGUAGACCCCGUUCUCGGUGCUAGAGAUAUAGCUGUGAAUAAUGCAUUAAAAAAAAAUAAUAAAAGCCUUGCCCCUAUAGAGUUGACAUUUGGGAUGGGGGGAGGCAGACAACUAAAAAACAUAAGUAAAAUAAUAUGUUAGGUAGAACAGGAACGUGAUUGUUGGAUGGGGAAGAUUCAGGGGCCUGUGGGUUGGAAUUUUAAACAGGGUAGUGACAGGGUUCCAGAUACAUCACCUCAGAAUGGCACUCCCUCAUACGGAAUAGUGUAAGCUGAAGGAAUUUGUGAAAGGGCAGGUGCUGGAAGGACUCUAUGACCGCCCCCCCCCCCGCCCCCCGCCCCCAAAGCAGGUCAUAAAGCCUGCUUGGGAGCGGUGCCCUCCCCUUACCUGGAAGAAAGUAACAUCCUUAUCUCUGAAGACACCAGGACUCAGCAAGGAAUCCAAACAAACAGCUGUGGAGACCCAGCUGGGCACCUGGAAAGGGCAGAAGGGACCAGCAGUGGUCUGGAGAAGGCCUCCCAGAGAAGAUGAGAUUUGAGCAAAGUCUGGAGGGAGGUGAUGGAAACCCCAUGUGGAAAUCUGGGGGAAGGCAGCUCCGAGCAGAGAGAACAAUGAAGAGAUACACCCAGGCACAGUGCUUGGCAUCCAGCUACAAGGUCGACUGAGGCAUGUUCUCUGUGCUCAGAAGCUCACAGUCAGUGAGGGAAAAACAGAAGCCGAUGACUACAAUUCAUUGUUGGAAAUGCAAUUAUGGCCUUAUGUUGGGAUAUUACUGAUAUUACUGAAAAGGGAUUCUAAAAAUUUUACUAAAAAUAAAAUAAUUGAAAAUAGC